This is a long non-coding RNA of Physella acuta, 431 nucleotides long. RefSeq lists it as uncharacterized. The record is from RefSeq and is a predicted model, not a curated record. Lineage: Eukaryota; Metazoa; Mollusca; Gastropoda; Physidae.
UAAAGAUAGAAACGGUGUUCUGGAUAGACGAGAUGUUGACGCCAUCUUUGAUCAGGCUGACACUGACAGAGAUGGUCGUGUAUCUGAGGAAGAGCAAAGAAGAUAUAUUGCCAGACAACUGAAUCGCAUCAAUAUCUUAAAUGUUGUGAGAAAACACCAAGCGUAUUUAGAACAAUCUUCCAGAAACUGGGACGAAUAUCGUGAUAGAAAAGUCUUGAAACAAGAGCUAAAACAGAAACUUCGUGAACAAGAUGGCGACUGGAACGGUCAAGUGUCCAGAUAUGAAAAUGAAAGAUGGGUUGAUGCCAGAUAUCCUGACCCUCAAGAACGAAGAUUUCAGAAGAAUAAUUUUGAUAACACAGAUAAAGAUAACAAUGGCAUUCUCGAUAGUACGGACGUAGACUGGAUAUUUAUUUAGGCUUGGAAGAUAG